Molecule: unclassified non-coding RNA, 364 nt
Filed under: Hevea brasiliensis (rubber tree)
Lineage: Eukaryota; Viridiplantae; Streptophyta; Magnoliopsida; Malpighiales; Euphorbiaceae
Source: RNAcentral
UGUUCUCUAUGACUGGUUCUCUAACCAUAAUCUCAUUUGGCCUUCUCUCUCUUGCCGGUGGGGUCCGCAGCUUGAGCAAGCUACUUACAAGAAUCGCCAACGUCUCUACCUUUCCGAGCAGACUGAUGGUAGUGUUCCAAAUACUUUGGUUAUUGCAAAUUGUGAAGUUGUCAAGCCUAGAGUUGCUGCUGCAGAGCACAUAUCUCAGUUUAAUGAAGAAGCACGCUCUCCAUUUGUUAAGAAGUACAAGACCAUCAUACAUCCUGGAGAGGUGAACAGGAUCAGGGAACUUCCACAGAAUAGUAGAAUAGUGGCCACUCAUACUGACAACCCUAAUGUUCUCAUAUGGGAUGUUGAAGCACAG